Molecule: unclassified non-coding RNA, 329 nt
Filed under: soil metagenome
Description: partial contains 5.8S ribosomal RNA, internal transcribed spacer 2, and large subunit ribosomal RNA
Rfam family: 5.8S ribosomal RNA (bases 1-120)
Source: RNAcentral
GAUGAAGAACGCAGCGAAAUGCGAUAAGUAGUGUGAAUUGCAGAAUUCAGUGAAUCAUCGAAUCUUUGAACGCACAUUGCGCCCUUUGGUAUUCCGAGGGGCAUGACUGUUCGAGCGUCAUUAUAACCCCUCAAGCUCAGCUUGGUGUUGGGGCCUGCUGCACUGGCAGCCCUUAAAAUCAGUGGCGGCGCCAUCUGGCUCUAAGCGUAGUAAUUCUUCUCGCUAUGGAGUCCUGGUGGAUGCUUGCCAUCAACCCCCAAUUUUUCUAUGGUUGACCUCGGAUCAGGUAGGGAUACCCGCUGAACUUAAGCAUAUCAAUAAGCGGAGGA